Small nuclear RNA from Heterocephalus glaber (naked mole-rat), 150 nucleotides. Its record names the gene U2. It matches the Rfam family "U2 spliceosomal RNA". Rfam says of the family: U2 is a small nuclear RNA (snRNA) component of the spliceosome (involved in pre-mRNA splicing). Complementary binding between U2 snRNA (in an area lying towards the 5' end but 3' to hairpin I) and the branchpoint sequence (BPS) of the intron results the bulging out of an unpaired adenosine, on the BPS, which initiates a nucleophilic attack at the intronic 5' splice site, thus starting the first of two transesterification reactions that mediate splicing. The record is from Ensembl. Lineage: Eukaryota; Metazoa; Chordata; Mammalia; Rodentia; Bathyergidae.
AUCACUUCUUGGCCAUUUGGCUAAGAUCAAGUGUAGUUUAUCAAUGUUCACUUAGUCAGAGGCCAGAAUGACUCUUGUCUCUCAAGAUUUUUGACUUUAGGGGCAACCAACUUUCUGGUCCCCCUUCUGUCUCUCUUAGGCAGAAGAUUU